This 433-nucleotide ribosomal RNA is filed under the name uncultured bacterium. RNAcentral describes it as "partial 16S ribosomal RNA". It matches the Rfam family "Bacterial small subunit ribosomal RNA", at positions 29 to 507 of the family's 1533-position model. The record is from RNAcentral.
AACGAACGCUGGCAGCAUGCCUAACACAUGCAAGUCGAACGAGACCUUCGGGUCUAGUGGCGCACGGGUGCGUAACGCGUGGGAACCUGCCCUUAGGUUCGGAAUAACUCCCCGAAAGGGGUGCUAAUACCGGAUAAUGUCUUCGGACCAAAGAUUUAUCGCCUUUGGAUGGGCCCGCGUUGGAUUAGCUAGUUGGUAGGGUAAAAGCCUACCAAGGCGACGAUCCAUAGCUGGUCUGAGAGGAUGAUCAGCCACACUGAGACUGAGACACGGCCCAGACUCCUACGGGAGGCAGCAGUGGGGAAUAUUGGACAAUGGGCGAAAGCCUGAUCCAGCAAUGCCGCGUGAGUGAUGAAGGCCUUAGGGUUGUAAAGCUCUUUUACCCGGGAUGAUAAUGACAGUACCGGGAGAAUAAGCGCCGGCUAACUCCGUG